This 768-nucleotide ribosomal RNA is filed under the name Staphylococcus sp. SAL_11. RNAcentral describes it as "bacterial SSU rRNA". It matches the Rfam family "Bacterial small subunit ribosomal RNA", at positions 96 to 850 of the family's 1533-position model. The record is from RNAcentral. Lineage: Bacteria; Bacillati; Bacillota; Bacilli; Caryophanales; Staphylococcaceae.
CGGCGGACGGGUGAGUAACACGUGGAUAACCUACCUAUAAGACUGGGAUAACUUCGGGAAACCGGAGCUAAUACCGGAUAACAUAUUGAACCGCAUGGUUCAAUAGUGAAAGGCGGCUUUGCUGUCACUUAUAGAUGGAUCCGCGCCGUAUUAGCUAGUUGGUAAGGUAACGGCUUACCAAGGCAACGAUACGUAGCCGACCUGAGAGGGUGAUCGGCCACACUGGAACUGAGACACGGUCCAGACUCCUACGGGAGGCAGCAGUAGGGAAUCUUCCGCAAUGGGCGAAAGCCUGACGGAGCAACGCCGCGUGAGUGAUGAAGGUCUUCGGAUCGUAAAACUCUGUUAUCAGGGAAGAACAAAUGUGUAAGUAACUGUGCACAUCUUGACGGUACCUGAUCAGAAAGCCACGGCUAACUACGUGCCAGCAGCCGCGGUAAUACGUAGGUGGCAAGCGUUAUCCGGAAUUAUUGGGCGUAAAGCGCGCGUAGGCGGUUUUUUAAGUCUGAUGUGAAAGCCCACGGCUCAACCGUGGAGGGUCAUUGGAAACUGGAAAACUUGAGUGCAGAAGAGGAAAGUGGAAUUCCAUGUGUAGCGGUGAAAUGCGCAGAGAUAUGGAGGAACACCAGUGGCGAAGGCGACUUUCUGGUCUGUAACUGACGCUGAUGUGCGAAAGCGUGGGGAUCAAACAGGAUUAGAUACCCUGGUAGUCCACGCCGUAAACGAUGAGUGCUAAGUGUUAGGGGGUUUCCGCCCCUUAGUGCUGCA